GGACAGAGUGACAGGUGGUGCAUGGUUGUCGUCAGCUUGUGUCGUGAGAUGUUGGGUUAAGUCCCGCAACGAGCGCAACCCUUGAUCUUAGUUGCCAGCAUUCAGUUGGGCACUCUAAGGUGACUGCCGGUGACAAACCGGAGGAAGGUGGGGAUGACGUCAAAUCAUCAUGCCCCUUAUGACCUGGGCUACACACGUGCUACAAUGGACAGAACAAAGGGCUGCGAGACCGCAAGGUUUAGCCAAUCCCACAAAUCUGUUCUCAGUUCGGAUCGCAGUCUGCAACUCGACUGCGUGAAGCUGGAAUCGCUAGUAAUCGCGGAUCAGCAUGCCGCGGUGAAUACGUUCCCGGGCCUUGUACACACCGCCCGUCACACCACGAGAGUUUGCAACACCCGAAGUCGGUGAGGUAACCUUUAUGGAGCCAGCCGCCGAAGGUGGGGCAGAUGAUUGGGGUGAAGUCGUAACAAGGUAGC
This 476-nucleotide ribosomal RNA is filed under the name Bacillus pumilus. RNAcentral's name for it is "bacterial SSU rRNA". It matches the Rfam family "Bacterial small subunit ribosomal RNA", at positions 1024 to 1500 of the family's 1533-position model. The record is from RNAcentral. Lineage: Bacteria; Bacillati; Bacillota; Bacilli; Caryophanales; Bacillaceae.